This 1017-nucleotide ribosomal RNA is filed under the name Distoseptispora lignicola. RNAcentral's name for it is "SSU rRNA". It matches the Rfam family "Eukaryotic small subunit ribosomal RNA", at positions 76 to 1102 of the family's 1831-position model. The record is from RNAcentral. Lineage: Eukaryota; Fungi; Ascomycota; Sordariomycetes; Distoseptisporaceae.
AUACCGCGAAACUGCGAAUGGCUCAUUAAAUCAGUUAUCGUUUAUUUGAUAGCACCUUACUACUUGGAUAACCGUGGUAAUUCUAGAGCUAAUACAUGCUGAAAAUCCCGACUUCGGAAGGGAUGUAUUUAUUAGAUUAAAAACCAAUGCCCUCCGGGGCUCACUGGUGAUUCAUGAUAACUUCUCGAAUCGCAUGGCCUUGCGCCGGCGAUGGUUCAUUCAAAUUUCUGCCCUAUCAACUUUCGACUGCUGGGUCUUGGCCAGCAAUGGUGACAACGGGUAACGGAGGGUUAGGGCUCGACCCCGGAGAAGGAGCCUGAGAAACGGCUACUACAUCCAAGGAAGGCAGCAGGCGCGCAAAUUACCCAAUCCCGACACGGGGAGGUAGUGACAAUAAAUACUGAUACAGGGCUCUUUUGGGUCUUGUAAUUGGAAUGAGUACAAUUUAAAUCCCUUAACGAGGAACAAUUGGAGGGCAAGUCUGGUGCCAGCAGCCGCGGUAAUUCCAGCUCCAAUAGCGUAUAUUAAAGUUGUUGCAGUUAAAAAGCUCGUAGUUGAACCUUGGGCCUGGCCGGCCGGUCCGCCUCACCGCGUGCACUGGUUCGGCCGGGCCUUUUCCUCUGGCGAGCCCCAUGCCCUUCACUGGGCGUGUGGGGGAACCAGGACUUUUACUUUGAAAAAAUUAGAGUGUUCAAAGCAGGCCUAUGCUCGAAUACAUUAGCAUGGAAUAAUAGAAUAGGACGUGCGGUUCUAUUUUGUUGGUUUCUAGGACCGCCGUAAUGAUUAAUAGGGACAGUCGGGGGCAUCAGUAUUCAAUUGUCAGAGGUGAAAUUCUUGGAUUUAUUGAAGACUAACUACUGCGAAAGCAUUUGCCAAGGAUGUUUUCAUUAAUCAGGAACGAAAGUUAGGGGAUCGAAGACGAUCAGAUACCGUCGUAGUCUUAACCAUAAACUAUGCCGACUAGGGAUCGGACGAUGUUAUUUUUUGACUCGUUCGGCACCUUACACGAAAGUACAA